CUAAUCAUUCAUGUAUUCGAUCACCCACAGUCCUACACGUCACAGUGACGCCGCCGCGCCGUACCGGACCGGACCGCCCUCGCGACCCUCUUCGGCUGGCUGCGGGGGUCUUUUCCGGAUGCUCAUCCAAAAUCCGGCGACCUGCAGUGAUCUACAACAGUACCCAAAAACAUUUUUCCCUGUUCGACAGUGGGAAGGAAAGGAAACAAGAAUGUCCCCCCUAAAUUGGUAGAGACACUCGAGGAUGGUGAGUCUGAUCCAAAACACUGCCUUUCACCAGUUUAAACAGUGAAUAAAAGUACAAUUUUGAUCCUUUUUAUUUGGACGAAUCCCAUUUUUGCUUCCCUAAAGGAGUUUCAGAACAAAAUGAAUUGAAAUACUGAAAUAUUUCGAUAGUAGUAACUUCUACAGAGAAACAAAUUAGCUACUUUGGUCUUUCUAUUGGAAGCCAAAGCAAGUAGCUACUUAUUAUCGAAUAUAAGGGUCAUACUUUGAUCAUUGUGGUUGCACAUUACUUAAAAUGACAACAACAAGAUGCUUCAGUAAGUCACUGUGAUAUUCUUCUCAUUUUAAUCUUGUUCAUAUGUAGAGAAACUCAUAUUUGGUAUGAGACUACUUUGGUCUUUCUAUCGGAAGCUGAAACAAUUAGCUGCUUAUUUGAGACUUGAAUUAUCAAAUAUAAAGGUCAUGCUUUGAUCAUUAUGGUUGCACACUACUUAAAUGACAACAAUAAGAUGCUUCAGUGAGUCACUGUGAUAUUCUUCUCAUUUUUAUCUUGUUCAUAUGUAGAGAAACUCUUAUUUGGUAUGAUACUGCUUUGGUCUUUCUAUGGGAAGCCGAAACAAGUAGCUACUUAUUUGAGACUGGAAUUAUCGAAUAUAAGGGUCAUACUUUGAUCGUUGUGGUUUCAUUUUACUUAAAAUGACAACAACAAGAUGCUUCAGUAAGUCACUGUGAUAUUCCUCUCAUUUUAAUCUUGUUCAUAUGUAGAGUAACUCUUAUUUGGUAUGAGACCACUUUGUUCUUUCUAUCGGAAGCUGAAACAAUUAGCUGCUUAUUUGAGACUUGAAUUAUCAAAUAUAAAGGUCAUACUUUGAUCAUUAUGGUUGCACAUUACUUAAAUGACAACAACAAGAUGCUUCAGUAAGUCACUGUGAUAUUCUUCUCUUUUUAAUCUUGCUCAUAUGUAGAGAAACUCUUAUUUGGUAUGAGACUAGUUUGGUCUUUCUAUCAGAAGGCGAAACAAGUAGCUACUUAUUUGAGACUUGAAUUAUCAAAUAUAAGGGCCAUACUUUUAUCAUUGUGGUUACACAGUACUUCAACGACAACAACAAGAUGCCUCAGUAAGUCACUGUGAUAUUCUUCUCAUUUUAAUCUUGUUCAUAUGUAGAGAAACUCUUAGUUGGUAUGAGACUACUUUGGUCUUUCUAUGGAAGCUGAAACAAUUAGCUACUUAUUUGAGACUUGAAUUAUCAAAUAUAAGGGUCAUACUUUGAUCAUUAUGGUUGCACACUACUUAAAUGACAACAACAAGGUGCUUCGGUGAGUCACUGUGAUAUUCUUCUCAUUUUAAUCUUGUUCAUAUGUUGAGAAUCUCUUAUUUGGUAUGAGACUACUUUGGUCUUUCUAUCGGAAGCUGAAACAAUUAGCUACUUAUUUGAGACUUGAAUUAUCAAAUAUAAGGGUCAUACUUUGAUCAUUAUUGUUGCACAUUACUUAAAUGAAGCCAACAAGAUGCCUCAGUAGGUCACUGUGAUAUUCUUCUCUUUUUAAUCUUGUUCAUAUGGAGAGAAACUCAUAUUUGGUAUGUGAGAGUUGGUUUCAUGAUCCAUCCGAAAGCAAGUAGCUAUUACGUUUGGCACAGGAUAUGUGAUGAACUGUGCAAUGAAUUCUGCUCUAGUUGGGAAGGUCUGUACAAAUUAAAGUCGGUAUUACCACAUUAAUAUGAGUUAUGCAUUUCCAAAUAUGUGUUCAGAUUGUCCUAUGGGUUCUUAUUCACUGUGUCUCAAUUCUUCAUGCUCCUAAACAGGGAGGAAAAUUGCCUUUUGGAUUCCUUGAUUUUCCAACACAAGGAUCUGGUGCAACAGUCCAGAUUUUUCCAACACAACAUUGGGAGAGGCGAAGGAAAUUGCUGAGGGAGAGCCUCCGCCUGAAAAGGAUACUUGUUAUUUGUCGAGCAGAUGUAUAGCACGCAAGGGAAGCUUUUGCAAACUUCCGGGAACAUGCGUAUCUGCAAGAAAUACAAGAAUGCCAGGUGGACAGGGUGGUCAGGCAGAAACAACAAGGUGGGGGGGGGGGAGGGGAAGGAAGAAAACAACAAGCACUUCAGAGAAUAUAUGGAGAAGCAGAGGAAGGCCACUAAAAUAGUCAGUGGUUGGAGGUGCGUGAGAUGCAUCAGAAGGAGGAAGAUGGCAUGGCUGUUGCCUGUGGCCCACAGUAUCAGCUCUGUGACCUCAAACAUCUUAUCAUGUCAUUCUUUUUUGUUCCUUCUUGAUAGGAUGGAUCAGUGUGGGCUAUCAUGUGGGAUGCCACAUGCAAACUGCUGACACCCAAAAGCAUCGAGAGGGGGGAAAAGAGGACGUGAAUCUUUUCUUCUUGUUGGCAUGCACUGCAUGUGUACAUUCCAACGUUGUUAUAAAUAAUGUUAAAGAAUAUGCAUGAUCAUGUAAACUACGAUGCCCCCCCACCCCCCAGCAGCAGUGUUUGAAGAUUAGACAACUCGGAGACAUGCAUUGAAAGCUAGGAUGCAUCCCAUGUUUUGAUUCCAAGAUGUUUGUUUGAAUCUUUUUCUAUCACUUUAUCAUAUAUGGAUGAUCUGAUGGUAA
Long non-coding RNA from Musa acuminata AAA Group (dessert banana), 2825 nucleotides. RefSeq lists it as uncharacterized. The record is from RefSeq and is a predicted model, not a curated record. NCBI's taxonomy places the organism in Eukaryota, Viridiplantae, Streptophyta, Magnoliopsida, Zingiberales, Musaceae. The transcript has 4 exons.